AGUCAAAAGACAAGUUUGGUAGUGAUCUUUACCCAUAUGCUUCUUUAUUCUUGAUCUUUCUGCAUUAUUUCACUUCUAGAAAAUAUUUAAAGCUCAGUUUAGGAAAAAACCGACCUGCCAAACAUCUGGCACACUUCCUGCUGCCUUCGCCCCUUGGAGUGGGAGGAAAAGCCAUCCUCCUUUAAUUUGUAUGUUUGGAAAAAGCAGGGAGGAAUCACAAAACUAAUCCAAAAAAUCAAACAUCUUUCUUUUGUAGAGGAAACUCUUUGUGAAGCUGCAAUUCUUGAUUCAGGGUUGCACAUCUACACGUACACCUUUGAUUUCCCACAGCGUGGCUGAGCCUUGGCUCCUACAUCACCAUCUGAAUUAUUCUGGUCAGUAAUUUUAAUUUUGAGGCAAUACACUGGCAAAACUCAAAGCAUCAGCAGAAGGGAAGCACACACAGAAGGACAGCCAGCCCCAUUCCCCAUCCCAAUGUCUCCAUUGCCAGUUCCCAGAUAUGGUUUUGGAAUUCAAUUUUGGAAUCUGGAGCUUCUGGGCUCCACCUGCUCCAGGCUGGGCUGGACUCCAGGUUUGCUGCAGCCUCCAUGGAAAUGGGCUUGUGUCAGUCACAAAACACCUUUUGGGUUCCGGGGUUCAGUGCCUUUGGUGUGUGGCAACCCCUUGGGAGUGUCCAUGUCCCCGAUGUCCUCGUGCCAGGCAGGAUCAGGAUCAGGAUCAGGAUUCCCGUGUCUGCUGGGCCACCUUGAACCUCAUGGACACCACAUCCCUGAUCCCCGCCUCGAUCUCAUCGUUGGCCUCCACGGACCCCACUCCUUUGGGAGACCCCGUGAGGAUCAAGUCCCCUUCUUCCAAGGGGAACACGUGGCUGAUGUAGCUGAUCAGGUAAGGGAUGGAGAAGAUCAUGGACGAGGUGUCUCCCUCCUGCCUCAGCUUCCCGUUCACCUUCAGCCAGAUCUGCAGCUUGUGCGGGUCCGGGAUCUUCUCCUUGGGCACGAAGUCACUGACGGGGCAGGACGAGCCGAACCCUUUGGCCAAGGUCCAGGGCAGCCCUUUCUCUUUGCACUGCUGCUGCGUGUCGCGGGCCGUCAUGUCCAGGCACAGGGCAUAGCCCGCCACAUGCUCCAUGGCCUCGGCCUCGGGCACGGCCCGGGCCCUGCGGCCGAUGACCACCCCCAGCUCCACCUCGUGGUGCAGGUUCCGGCAGUAGUAGGGCCGCACGAUGGGGGAUCCCUCCCGCACGUAGGCCGAGGAGGGUUUGAGGAAGAAGAGCGGCUCUGCGGGCAGGGCGCUGCCCAUCUCCUUGGCGUGCUCCGCGNGCGGGACAGCGGUUUAGAACCGGCCAUUGCCGCCCUUGCCGUAUCCUUGCCGGGGACCCGCACGGCGCUGCCGCUUCUCCUGCUCCUCCUCCGCGGGGUGAGCGGGCGGGCCGAGGGCCGGGCCCGGGGCCGGGCGGGCUCAGCGCCGCCCCCGCGCACGCCGGGCCGGGCCGGGCCGGGCCGUGCCGGCGCUGCCGCCGCCUCCCGGGGCGGACAGCCAAGGAGUCUUCUCCAGAGGAACCCUCUGCAGGUCCAGCACAGCUGCGAGCUAAAUUCCUGCACACGGAGCACGAGCUGA
Molecule: long non-coding RNA, 1617 nt
Filed under: Cyanoderma ruficeps (rufous-capped babbler)
Lineage: Eukaryota; Metazoa; Chordata; Aves; Passeriformes; Timaliidae
Description: lncRNA (ENSCRFG00000012386.1)
Source: RNAcentral